Molecule: small RNA, 708 nt
Filed under: Pongo abelii (Sumatran orangutan)
Lineage: Eukaryota; Metazoa; Chordata; Mammalia; Primates; Hominidae
Description: processed transcript
Source: RNAcentral
AGGAAAUGUGAGGGCUGGUGGCAGGAACGCCUGUUGCAAGGGGUAACGGUGGGUAGUAGAGCAGAAGCGUGGAAAUAAUUGGUCUCAAGGCUCUGACAGAGCUUUGGUUUAGGUGGUUUCUGCCCUAAGAAUGUUGAGAUCACAACUGUCUGUGCAUGGGGGCUGGGGGAUUAUAUGUACUGAUGGGCGUAUACAUAUAGAAUAUAUAUGGACGAUGUAUCCAUUGCGCCUCUGCUUAUAAGAGAGAGGACAGGAGGGCAGUGCGUUACCUUCUCCCUCCACCCGGUUCCUCUCCUCCAAGCCUUUUGUGGAGAUCUGCAUGAAACAACACAACAAAUAUGAAGCCAAGAAGUAUGCUUCCCGCGUGGGUCCCGAGCAGAAGGUCAAGGCUUUGCUUCUUGUUGGCGAUGUGGCUCAGGCUGCAGAUGUGGCCAUCGAACACCGGAAUGAGGCUGAGCUGAGCCUCGUAUUGUCCCACUGCACGGGAGCCACAGAUGGGGCCACAGCUGACAAGAUUCAACGGGCCAGGGCACAAGCCCAGAAGAAGUGAGGAGUCCACCCUGUACAUCUCGAGCAAGGGGUUCCUCCCCUAGCACCUGGGCUUGACAGAAGGGCCAUAGUUCAUCCAGCUCCUCCCCUAGGACAAUGCUGAGGAGGAGGGGCGUGGUAGCAAGGCUGUCUGGUUUUAAAUAAAGUUGGAACGCUUUA